UACGGGGGGGGCAAGCGUUGUUCGGAAUUACUGGGCGUAAAGGGUCUGUAGGUGGCUUGCUAAGUCAGACGUGAAAUCCCUCAGCUUAACUGGGGAACUGCGUCUGAGACUGGCGAGCUUGAGGGCAGGAGAGGAACGCGGAAUUCCAGGUGUAGCGGUGAAAUGCGCAGAUAUCAGGAGGAACACCAAUGGCGAAGGCAGCUCGCUGGGACGUGACUGACGCUGAGACGCGAAAGCGUGGGGAGCGAACAGG
RNAcentral lists this ribosomal RNA (253 nucleotides) under uncultured bacterium. Its description in RNAcentral is "partial 16S ribosomal RNA". It matches the Rfam family "Bacterial small subunit ribosomal RNA", at positions 524 to 776 of the family's 1533-position model. The record is from RNAcentral.